Molecule: ribosomal RNA, 468 nt
Filed under: uncultured bacterium
Lineage: Bacteria
Description: partial 16S ribosomal RNA
Rfam family: Bacterial small subunit ribosomal RNA
Source: RNAcentral
GACGAACGCUGGCGGCGUGCUUAACACAUGCAAGUCGAACGGAAAGGCCCUGCUUUUGUGGGGUGCUCGAGUUGCGAACGGGUGAGUAACACGUGAGUAACCUGCCCUUGACUUUGGGAUAACUUCAGGAAACUUGGGCUAAUACCGGAUAGGAGCUCCUGCUGCAUGGUGGGGGUUGGAAAGUUUCGGCGGUUGGGGAUGGACUCGCGGCUUAUCAGCUUGUUGGUGGGGUAGUGGCUUACCAAGGCUUUGACGGGUAGCCGGCCUGAGAGGGUGACCGGCCACAUUGGGACUGAGAUACGGCACAGACUCCUACGGGAGGCAGCAGUGGGGAAUAUUGCACAAUGGGCGGAAGCCUGAUGCAGCAACGCAGCGUGCGGGAUGACGGCCUUCGGGUUGUAAACCGAUUUCGCCUGUGACGAAGCGUGAGUGACGGUAAUGGGUAAAGAAGCACCGGCUAACUACGUG